This 440-nucleotide ribosomal RNA is filed under the name uncultured bacterium. Its description in RNAcentral is "partial 16S ribosomal RNA". It matches the Rfam family "Bacterial small subunit ribosomal RNA", at positions 338 to 795 of the family's 1533-position model. The record is from RNAcentral.
CCUACGGGAGGCAGCAGUGGGGAAUAUUGCACAAUGGGGGAAACCCUGAUGCAGCGACGCCGCGUGAGUGAAGAAGUAUUUCGGUAUGUAAAGCUCUAUCAGCAGGGAAGAAAAUGACGGUACCUGACUAAGAAGCCCCGGCUAACCACGUGCCAGCAGCCGCGGUCAUACGUAGGGGGCGAGCGUUAUCCGGAUUUACUGGGUGUAAAGGGAGCGUAGACGGUUGUGCAAGUCUGAUGUGAAAGCCCGGGGCUUAACCGCGGGACGGCUUUGGAAACUGUGGAACUGGAGUGAUGGAGAGGCAAGCGGAAUUCCUAGUGUAGCGGUGAAAUGCGUAGAUAUUAGGAGGAACACCAGUGGCGAAGGCGGCUUGCUGGACAGUAACUGACGUUGAGGCUCGAAAGCGUGGGGAGCAAACAGGAUUAGAUACCCUUGUAGUC